RNAcentral lists this long non-coding RNA (14511 nucleotides) under Salvia miltiorrhiza (redroot sage). RNAcentral describes it as "long non-coding RNA (SMIL_LNC006077)". Lineage: Eukaryota; Viridiplantae; Streptophyta; Magnoliopsida; Lamiales; Lamiaceae. The record is from RNAcentral.
CUUCUCUCAAGAAUACGAUUCUGCGUAUUCUACAAUCGUCUCGCAUUUCUCUCGUUUCCCACUCUCCACAAAUCUUGCAACCUGCCUACGACGAGAUGGAUCGAUUGCAGAAAGUUCUGCUCAAAUUGGACGAGACCAGCUGCAGCAAGAUCAGGACGAAGGUGAAUGCUUUGGAUGAACUCAUAAAAGAGGCAGUUUGGGAAUUCGAAGAUUUACUCGAAUCCCAUAUCUUACCUCAGAUUCUUCCACAACUCGAAAGCGAGAGAGACAACUUGUCUUUCUCUGUAGAUCUGCAGAGUCUGCAACACCAUGUUGAUUGCUUCGUCGAGAUGGUGAAGAUGAUGGAGGAAGAGUACACAAUGAAAUGGAGAAUAUGGCUGAAGAAGAAGGCGACCUAUUUCCUCAAGAAUUGAUUCUGGUGGAAUGAUCAAUCAAGAUGGUUGGAAUCUAUGAUUAAAAAGCCAGAGAAUCUUCUUAAGAAAACUAUUCGUUUUGGGAUGGCGGGUUGGAAAGACAACUCUUGCUAACAUAUAUUUGAAGAUCCAACAAUUCGGAGCCAUUUUGAGUUUCGAGCAUGGGUCAAAGUGGGCAGAAAAUGCGAACCCAAUGAACUAUUACGCUGCGUUCUAGCUCAAGUGGAUCCCAACACUUACCGAAUGCUUGCCCAAGGAGAUGAUGAUGAUGAGGAAUUAGUUGGAUUAUUGAAAGAAAAAUUGCAGGAUAAGAAAUGCCUCGUCAUUUUGGAUGAUGUUUGGGGGGUACCAGCAGCAAAUCGCUUGACAAAUUGCUUGCGAGAAAAGAAUACUCUUGGAGGGAUUCAGCUCUUACUUACAAGUAGACAAUGUAUAAAAUACAAGCAGCAUGGGGGCAUGAGAUUGAGCUUGUUGAAUGAAGAAGAUAGUAAGAAACUACUUGGUGAGAAGGUGUUUGGUGAGAAGGUGUUUAGUGAAGACGGUUUCCCUCGUCAACUUGAGGAACUGGGAGAGAAGAUUGCCAAGAAAUGUGAAGGUCUUCCUCUUAUGAUAGUCACAGUUGCAGAGCUCCUAUCAAAAGCCGACAAGACCCCAGAAUACUGGACUGAGGUAGCCUACAAACAACACAACUCACUUUUCGAGGAUGCAUAUAAUCAAAUAUCAGAGGUACUUUUCCCAAGUUAUGACUACUUACCCCAACAUUUAAAAAUGUUCUUCCUCUAUAUGGGAGCUUUCCCUCCUUAUGAUGAUCAGAGACCAUUCAAUAUUAAUUAUCUUUUGAGUGUUGAGGGAUUUCUUGAACUGAAUGAUGAAAAAAGUUUUGAAGGUUUCUGGGAAAAGCUUUCUCAGGAGUAUUAUCUUGUUCUCGACACAGAAAAUUCUUGGUAUUCGGGUAGAGUAUCGCGUGCAUUCUUGUUGGCAGCACUUAUGUAAGGUAGAAGCUAGUAGGAUCAAGUUUCUACAUGUCUUACGAGGUUGUGAUGAUGUUAUAAAAGACAGCGCCGCUUGUGUGCCCAUUAACAUUAUUCGGCUUCAAACAAGUGUAUGAUUUGAUAAAAAGUGAUUGUGCAUCCACUGCCCGUUCUCUCCUUUGUUAUGGUCCUUAUCACCCAUAUCCAAUCCAAUACAUGCCAUGGGUUUCAAGUUGCUCAGGGUACUAUAUGCUCUUGGAGUUCGAUUUUACCAUAUCCCAAUUGAAAUUUUGAAACUUGUUUGUUUGCGGUACCUUUCCCUAAGUGCAACGGGGAGCUCCCUCCUUCCAUAUCCAACCUUUUUCACCUUCAAUUCUUGAUUAUCAUCCACAUAUUAUUAAAAGCGUGGAGUUCGUCUUAUAUGCCUGUGCAAAUUUGGGACAUGCAAGAACUAGAGAUUAGAUGGAAGGACCUACCAACCCCUAAUACUGAGAUGCUACCUUGAACAAACUCACCACUUUAUGUGUGAGUGCAAAAGUUGUACAAGGAAGUUCUCAAAAGAAUUCCUAAUUUAAAGGAUUAAUUAGUGGAGUUGAAGCCUUAUGAUGAUGAUGAUGAUGAUGAAAGAAACCCAUCGAGUUGCUUGGGUUAUAUCUCCCAACUCCAGAAUUUGAGACUUAAUAUUGGGUUAAAUCCCGGAUAAAGUAUGAGUGUAAUACGAUUCCUCUUUCAAUGUUUCCAUCAAUCUCAAGGUGUUAACGUUGUCUGGUUUAGGGGGGUAUCCUUGGAAUUACAUGAAUGAAUUGGUUCGGCUCCAAAUCUCGAGAUUCUCAUUAUAUUAUGCAUUUCGAGGCCCAAAGUGGGACAUAACACCGGGGAGUUUUUUGAAACUUCUCGAACUUCAAAUUGAAGACACCGAUUUGGUGCGAUGGAGACCUCAACGUGGAAGCUUCCCGAUGCUUCGUAGACUAAGCAUGAGGCAUUGCUACAAAUUACAACAGCUCGAUUGGAUGUAUGAUCACUGGAUCACAAUUGUAUUAGUCGAGUGCAAUCCUUUAGCUGUCGCUUGUGCCAAGGAAUUAGAAGACAAGUUUUCAUUUGAACUUAUCGUCAAAUCUUCUUUUUGAGGUCAAGUGAGUCUGCAACUUGCCUAACAGGUUAGUGUUACUAUUUGCAAUAUAGUCUUAAUGUUUCUGUUAUGAUCACAGUGUUUGAGAUUGUCCAUCUAUCGAUUUUCAGGCAAAUGAGAGAGCCGAUCGAAGGGGUCAGACACCGCGUUAUCCCAUAAUUUCGAUUCACGUUGCAUUACCACAUAUUGUCGUAUGUAUUUAAGGAUUGUGAUUUGUAUUGGAUUUUGUUGAUGAUUAUGAAACCUGAGUGCUGAAUUGUGUUUGUAACCAAACUUGUUUUAAGUUGGAUUUGUGUGAAAACAUUAGUCCCUUCAGGAGGUUCGAGAAGUCUCUAAGAGGCCGCGAUGUUGAACAAUGGAUGAGCCGUCGCCGCUUACCUAAAGAUCUUCGAAGGUUCUAAAUUCUUUCUCUUUCUUUCUGAUGAUCAUUGUUGAUUAUCUGUAUGAGCGUUGUCUUCUUCGAAUAACUUGAAAAAUUGCCGAAAAAUUGUGACUCGGGCUAUUAAGUGAACAACGGAGAAGUAAUGAACAUCUUAUCUUUAACAGCUCCGAAUUUUUCAACUUUCAUGCCAAUAUACUAUUUAAUUUGUGGCUUCAUAUUUCAAAUUUAUGAGAUCCCUGAGUAGAAACUCAUCAAUAUGAACAUUAAUUUGUUGAGAUGAAGUCCCUGUUGUGUAUUUGGAUGAGCUUUUUCCAAUAGUCUUAUUGUCAUUUCCAUUUUUGAGAACCUUUGUUGUUGUUGUUGUCGUCGUCUUCUUUUUGUUAUUUUUAUUUCUUUUAAGGUUUAGUUUACAUUUUCUUUGAAAUUUAAAAGUUGUUUGCUGAAGAUUCAUGCCCUCUUAAACUUGACAAAGCCAAAAAAAAGAUUGGGGGCUGAUGACUACAGAAAAGCCAUGAUUUGUAUGAACAAAAUUAUUAUGCUAAUUAAGUUAUUUCUUCUCCAUUGUAAAUAUAUAACUGCAGGAGUUGUGAGGUUCAAAAUGUUGUUGAUUUAGCAAUGAAGUUAAUCUGAUUAAGAACUCUUGUUGCCAAAGAAGAAAAGAAUUGAUUAAUUAUCAUUCACAAAAUUUCUGAAGCAGUUAUCAAUUAACAUAGACCAAUCACCUUACUGGCGAGGAAUUGCAGCUCGAUGGUUCCACAAGUUGAUGAAACCUGAUUGCUAAAUUGUGUUUGUAACCAAAUUGUUGUAAGUUGGAUUUGUGUGAAAAUAGUAGCCCCUUGUUCAUGGAUUGUACUUUUUAUGAGUUAUGCAUGAUUUUCACUUUGCUUUGAUAUUGUGUGUAACCAGUUUGUGUUUGUUUUUAUAUAGCUUAAAAUUUUAAGAUUCUAGCAAUAUACUAAAUAAUUUCAGGCUUCAUAUUUUUAUUUUUAUUUGUUGCUUUCUGCAGGCUCUGGGACGCAGGUGUGCACUCGAUUCGAACCUCAGAUCAUUGGCCUUGGGCGUUAAAUAAGUGCUUAAAUACAAUUAAUUUACUUCAGGAGGUUCGAAAAGUCUUUAAGAGGCUGUGAUGUUGAACAAUCGUGAGCAUGCACUACACUGACUUAUACGUUCAGUGCAAUAAAUUGUAUGCGUUGUGCAAUAAAUUAACUUUGCAUGCGUUCAGAAGGUUCUCAUUUGAAUAUUAAAUCUAAUAAAGUGAUGUUAUUAACUCUGCAGAAGCCAUUGUGUAGAUGUUGCUAUUUGCUAACUCAUAUAAAUUUGUAUCAGUUAAUUUUAGAUCGAGUUAAAGAAAUCAAGAAGAAUCGUCUCUUCCACAUUCACUAUGUACAGCUGCAGCCAUGCCCAUCAACAGAGGAUUUUAAGAAAGUUAACCUGCAGUCUUUCACAGCCACGGCCUCUUCGCUACUCGCCUUAACUACUUAACUAUAUACUCCCUCCGUCCGCGAUAUCGUUUUCACAUUGUAGACGGUGCGGGUUUUAAGAAAAGUGGUGGAUAUGUAGUGAGUGGAGUUUGAGUCCCACUAUUGUUGUGAGUGGAAGUUUGUGGACUAUACUUCUAUAAAUGGAAGUGGAAACGAUAUCGCUGACGGACCGAAAUGGCAAAUGUGGAAACGAUAUUGCGGACGGAGGGAGUAUAUACUAUAGAAUUUAACUACUUAACUAGAUAAAUGAAAAUAAUAAUAACUCACUAUUAUAUAAUUAAUCACCGCACAUGAGGCGCUAAAAUAAAAGCACUUCUUAAAAUAUAAAAUAUGAACUAUUUUCAGAUCUUAGAUCAUCAAGAUCUAAGGGUGAUUCAUAUUUGAUGUAUGAAUUCAUGGUCGUGAUCAGUUCAAAUCAUAUGUCUCUGUUAAUUUAUUUGCUAUCACCAAGGGGCUAUCACCAAGAAGGGGAGAGUUUCUGAUUCUUCUAUCAAGCACAAGCUCCAUCGUAUCAUAAUCAAUGGCAUGUCCUCGGAUUUCCAAAACUCAGCACGCCAUGAUGAUAUGCAGGGCCCAGGUCUAGACACUUCUUCGCCUGUGGAGUUCCUGAAUAAAGUGAAGUAUGCUCAGUCUGGAGGACAGAUUCUGCAAAACUUUGUGAUCAACUCCUCUAACUCUACCGAUGCAGCCCAUGCUAUGUCGGUUGUGGCCUCUUCAAAAAUGAAGAAAAAAUGGGGCGAUAUGUUGGACGAUGAAGAUGACGAUGUUUUAGACGAGGACGACCCUCUUAAAAUGUUCUCUUAGUCUUGGUUUCUUUUUUGGUUACCCGGGGUUUCUUGCGGGUGCUUUUGCUUGUUUCCUUAUGUCUCUGGUCUCUCUUUUUUUUCUUUUCUUUUUAAUAAAAUUUCUAUUUCAGCAGAUCAGUUCAAAUCAUAGGUAGCAAAAUUUUUAAUUUUUGCAAUUCAGACAUUUACACGGAAAAUUCAUACAUUUAAAUAUAAUUUCUCUAAGAUUAAAUCUCAACCGUUAGAUUAUGGAUAGAUCAAUGGUGUAAAUCUAUUCCUAUUUUAUACUCCUUUAAAAGUUGUUUUCAUCAUUGCCCUCCCCUUAAGGCACAUAUCAUAUAUACACUAAGUUGUAUAUAAAUAUUAUCAUACUUUAAUAUGUAUGUGUUUGAAAUUUGGUAUGACCGCUAGGUUUUUUAAAAAAGCCAACACAAUUUCUAUAAAUUAAUAACUUUGGGAUCUAAAAAGUUUUUUUUUUUUUUUUUUUUAGAUACUAAAUUAAAAUCUUAAAAUUNCAGAGGAAUCGUCCCGCCAGAGGAUUCCUACCGCCAGAGGAAUCCUCCCGCCAGAGGAAUCCUCCCGCCAGCGGAAUCCUUCCGCCAGAGGAAUCCUCCCGCCAGAGGAAUCUUGGUUUUCCAGAGCAGAGGAGCGGACGUGCAGAGCAGAGCGUGCGGAGCUGGUUUUCUCGCUAGCGUUAUUUUAGUCUUGCUGAUCAAGUUUCUUUAGUUUCCUUGUUUUUACGUUUUAUGUCCUUCUUUAAAUUAGGGUUUUAUUUUGCCUAUAUAUGGCGGCUGUAUGGAACAUUUGAAAAUUAACUUUGAUGAUAUAUGAAAUUUGUGAGAUUAUUCUCUCUUGAGAACUUCGAGUUCUUCCUGGAUUUUGCCCAAGCAAAUCCAACCUAUCGGCGUAUCGGCGGGUUCAUCAUCCCUCGUCGUAUGUCAUUCACCGUCCCCGAGUUACUGUAUCAACUGCACGUUGGGGUUUAGGGAUUCGUUCGCCUAAAUCACUUCCGUCGGGUUUAGAUCCAGGGGUUUUGGGAUUUCCAUCUUCUCAUUCCACCUAUCGACGAAUCGACGAGUUCAUCAUCCCUCGCCGUGUGUCAUUCAGCGUCUCCGAGUUACUGUAUCAAUCGUGCGUUGGGGUUUAGGGAUCCGUUCUCUAGAUCAUUUCGUAGAUUAGAUACAGGGGUUUUGAGAUAUUCCACACUCUAUCUGUCUUUUAAUUUCCGUUUAUUUCAGAUCAGAUCGUUUAAAGAUCUCAUCGAUCUUUUGUUCAUAUCAGUCGGGCCCAACGCGAUGAAGUUUAAUCUACCCACAUAAUUAUGAUUGACAGAAAAAUUUACCAAGAUUAAGUAUAAAGCUCCAAAAAAGCAUAUAUAUGCAAUGCAUAUAUAUUUACAAAAUUUCACAUUUCGUUAUUACUUAAUAAAAUAAAAGUAAUAGAUUUAAAUAUCAUUAUAUUAUUAAUAAAAUAUUAAAUUUGCAACACAUACAAUAUUUCCCGUGCAUCGCAUAGGAAGUGUACUAGUAAUAAUAAUAAUACUCCCUCCGUCCCCGUCAUAAGUGAAACGUUUCUUUUCGGCACGAGAUUUAAUGAGUCAGUGUUUAGGGGUAUAAGAGUGUUUUUAGUUUUAUACUUAAGUGAGAAUAUAAUAAUUAAUAAUUUUGAAUUAAAUUUAAAUUCAAACUUUAAUUUAUUACUUACAUUUAUUUUCAAAUUUUAUUUUCUAUUUUAUUUAAUAAUUUUUUUUUACAUACCCACUUCUCAAAGGAAUGUUUUAUUUAAUAAUAAUAAUAAUAAUAAUAAUACACAAUGCAAUAGACGUACUAAACAAAAAUUAUAAUUUGUAUUAUAAAGAGUACAAUAAUAUAGUAUUAAAUAUAUAUAUAUAGGUAACUAGGUAAGAAUUCUGAGAAAUUAAAAAAAAAAUUGCUUAAGAAAAGUUAAAAAUUAAAAAUCAUGUAAAAAUUGCACUAGUUUCCUUACUUUUCUUGUUCAUGACGUCGUAGUAAGGGGGCCCAUCUUAUCUUAAUUAUCAGUGCUGCUACUAUUCUUGAUUUUUGAAGCAGCUCUCAUAAUUUUCAACUGGUUGAUUGCUCAAUCUUCAUAAUUUCUUGCUACUAUUCUUCCACACAAUUGCCUUCAAAAUCAUCAAUAGAUCCAUUUUACCAUUACAUUAUACACAUCUUUUCAAAUCAUUUACUAAAGUUCUUGAAUGUGGCUUUGAAUGUUUCUGAAAUUGUAUCAAAAGCAGCUGCCGCCGCCGUCGAGAGGUAAGCAGAGAGCUGAGAUCUAUCAUUUCUUUCAUCUGCGUUUGCUUAUUAUAAUUCCUUCUUCUUCUGCGUUUCUUUCUUAGGCGACUGAAUUUUAUUCUGGGCUAAUUGCAGUUUAGUUCAAGCUUCAUUUUGGAGGAAAAUUGCAGACCUAAGCAAUUUCAUUUCAACAAUAUAUCGUAUCUCAGCUGAUAAUUUGGGUAUGGCGGCUUAUGGUGCAGCCACUUCUCUCAAGAAUACGAUUCUGCGUAUUCUACAAUCGUCUCGCAUUUCUCUAGUUUCCCACUCUCCGCAAAUCUUGCAACCUGCCUACGACCAGAUGGAUCGAUUGCAGAGAAUUCUGCUCCAAUUGGACGAGACCAGCUGCAGCAAGAUCAGGACGAAGGUGAAUGCUGCGGAUGAACUCAUAAAAGAGGCAGUUUGGGAAUUCGAAGAUUUACUCGAAUCCCAUAUCUUACCUCAGAUUCUUCCACAACUCGAAAGCGAGAGACACAACUUGUCAUUCUCUGUAGAUCUGCAGAGUCUGCAACACCAUGUUGAUUGCUUCGUCGAGAUGGUGAAGAUGAUGGAGGUGGAGUACUUCAUUGAAAUGGAGAAUAUGGCUGAAGAAGAAGGCGAGCCUAUUUCCUCAAGAAUCGAUUUUGGUGGAAUCAAGUCAAAGAUGGUUGGAUUAUCUUAUGAAUUUCAAAGAGCCAGAGAUAACCUUCUUGAAGAUAAACACUAUUCGAUUAUUGGGAUGGCGGGCGUUGGAAAGACAACUCUUGCUAAGCAUAUUUUUGAAGAUCCAUCAAUUCGGAGCCAUUUUGAGUUUCGAGCAUGGGUCAAAGUUGGCAGAAAAUGCGCGCCCAAUGAACUAUUACGUUGCGUUCUAGCUCAAGUGGAUCCCAACACUUACCGAAUGCUUGCUCAAGGAGAUGAUGAUGAUGAGGAAUUAGUUGGUCUAUUGAAAGAAAAAUUGCAGGGUAAGAAAUGUCUCAUCGUGUUGGAUGAUGUUUGGGAGACACAAGCAAUAAGUCGCAUGAUAAAUUGCUUGAAAGAAGGGAAUAUUCGUGGAGGGAUUGGAUACUUAGUUACAAGUAGACAAUGUAUAACAUUCGCGCAGCAUAGGGGCAUAAGACUGCAGUUGUUGAAUGAAGAAGAAAGUAAGAAAUUACUUGGUGAGAAGGUGUUUAGUGAAGACGGUUUCCCUCCUCAACUUGAGGAACUGGGAGAGAAGAUUGCUGAGAAAUGUGAAGGUCUUCCUCUUAUGAUAGUCACAGUUGCAGAGCUCCUAUCGAAAGCCGACAAGACCCCAGAAUACUGGACUAAGGUACUCAAACAAUAUAGUUCAGUAUUCGUGGAGGCAUAUAAUCAAAUAUCAGAGGUACUUUUUCCAAGUUAUGACUACUUACCCCAACAUUUAAAAAUGUUUUUCCUCUAUAUGGGAGCUUUCCGUCCAUAUGUUGAUCAGAGUCCAUUUGCGAUCAAUUUUCUGUUGAGUGCUGAGGGCUUUCUUGAACUGAAUGUUGAAAAGAGUUUUGAAGGUUUCUGGGAAAAGCUUUCUAAGUCGUAUCAUCUUGUUCUCGACACAGAAAAUUCUUGGUAUUUGGAGAGACGGUAUCGCGUGCAUUCUUGUUGGCAGCACUUAUGUAAGGUAGAAGCUAGUAGGAUCAAGUUUCUACAUGUCUUACGAGAUUGUGAUGAUGUGACAAACGACCAGCGUCGCUUGUGUGCCCAUUACAACAAUUUAUUUGCCUUCCAACAAGUGUAUGAUUCGAUAAAAAGUGAUUGUGCAUCCAUUGUCCGUUCUCUCCUAUGUCAUGGUCCUUAUCACCCGUAUCCAAUCCCAAUACAUGCCAUGGGUUUCAAGUUGCUUAGAGUACUAUGUGCUCUUAGAGUUCGAUUUUACCAUAUCCCAACUGAAAUUUUGAAACUUGUUUGUCUGCGGUACCUUGCCCUAACUUGCAACGGGGAGCUCUCUCCUUCCAUAUCCAACCUUUUUCACCUUCAAUUCUUGAUUAUCAGGCCACAUAUGUACAUUAAAAAGCGUGGAGUUCAGUUUUAUAUGCCUGUGCAAAUUUGGGACAUGCAAGAACUAGAGCAUCUUGAGAUAAUUGGAAGGGACCUACCAACCCCUAAUACUGAUGAUGCUACCUUGAACAAACUCAGCGGACUUUAUGGUGUGAGUGCAAACAGUUGUACAAUGGAAGUUCUCAAAAGAAUUCAUAAUUUAAAGAAUUUAGGAAUUCAAGUGGAGUUGAAGCCUUAUGAUGAUGAUGAUGAUGAAAGAAACCCAUCGAGUUGCUUGGGUUAUAUCUCCCAACUCCAGAAUUUGGUCUCACUUGAAUAUUGGGUUAGGAAUCCCGAGAUAAAGUAUGAGUGUAAUACGAUUCCUCUUUCAAUGUUUCCAUCAAGUCUCAAGGUGUUAUGGUUGUUUGGGUUAGGGGGAUAUCCUUGGAAUUACAUGAAUGACAUUGGUUCGCUGCUACCAAAUCUCGAGAUUCUCAUAUUAAAACACUAUGCAUUUCGAGGCCCCGAGUGGGACAUAACACCAGGGAGUUUUUUGAAACUUAUUGAACUUCGAAUUGAAGACACCGAUUUGGUGCGAUGGAGACCUCAACGUGGAAGCUUCCCGAUGCUUCGUAGACUAAGCAUGUGGGAUUGCUACAAAUUACAACAGCUCGAUUGGCCGUAUGAUCACUCUUGGAUAGAGAUCAUGGGUUUAGUCAACUGCAAUCCUUUAGUUGUCGCUUGUGCCAAUGAAUUAAAAGACAAGUAUUCCUUUCAACUUGGAGUCAAAUCUUCAUUUUGAGGUCAAGUGAGUAUGCAACUUGCCAAACUGCAGGUUAGUGUUACUACUUUGCAAUAUUACGUCUUAAUGUUUCUAUUAUAGUCACAGUGUUUGAGAUUGUCAUCUAUCGAUUUUCAGGCAAAUGAAAGAGCCGAUGGAGAGUUGCUUCUCGAGGCCUGAUUUUGAAGACGUGGCAGGUCUCUAUGCAUAUAUCUUAAAGAGUUCCCUUGUUCAGGGCUCCAUAAGGUAACUUCUUUAUAAUGCAUAACCUAUAAAUGAAUCGAGUAACUUGAAAGUAUUGGGCUCGUUAGCUUGCAAAUACGUCCGUGUAUAGCAUUGUGAGCAUAUAUAUUUGGUGAUGAGCUCGGUUGCGAGGGCACAUCAUAUAUUGCUACUCGUUGCCUUGUUUGCGUUGUAGGUAUGAAUCACCUUACUGGCGAGGAAUUGCAGCUCGAUGGUUCCAACUCGCGUGGAGACGCAGAAAGAAGGAAACGAAUCGAGCUGACUCAAUUUGUGUAGAUUCGACAAGUUGAUGAAACCUGAUUGCUGAAUUGUGUUUGUAACCAAAUUGUUGUAAGUUGGAUUUGUGUGAAAACAUUAGUCCCUUGUUCAUGGAUUGUACUUUUUAUGAGUUAUGCAUGAUUUUCACUUUGCUUUGAUAUUGUGUGUAACCAGUUUGUGUUUGUUUUUAUAUAGCUUAAAAUUUUAAGAAUAUUCUAGCAAUAUACUAAAUAAUUUCAGGCUUCAUAUUUUUAUUUUUAUUUGUUGCUUUCUGCAGGCUCUGGUACGCAGGUGUGCACUCGACUCGAACCUCAGAUCAUUGGCCUUGGGCGUUAAAUAUGUGCGUAAAUACAAUUUAUUUACUUCAGGAGGUUCGAAAAGUCUUUAAGAGGCUGUGAUGUCGAACAAUCGUGAGCAUGCACUACACUGACUUAUACGUUCAGUGCAAUAAAUUGUAUGCGUUGUGCAAUAANNNNNNNNNNNNNNNNNNNNNNNNNNNNNNNNNNNNNNNNNNNNNNNNNNNNNNNNNNNNNNNNNNNNNNNNNNNNNNNNNNNNNNNNNNNNNNNNNNNNNNNNNNNNNNNNNNNNNNNNNNNNNNNNNNNNNNNNNNNNNNNNNNNNNNNNNNNNNNNNNNNNNNNNNNNNNNNNNNNNNNNNNNNNNNNNNNNNNNNNNNNNNNNNNNNNNNNNNNNNNNNNNNNNNNNNNNNNNNNNNNNNNNNNNNNNNNNNNNNNNNNNNNNNNNNNNNNNNNNNNNNNNNNNNNNNNNNNNNNNNNNNNNNNNNNNNNNNNNNNNNNNNNNNNNNNNNNNNNNNNNNNNNNNNNNNNNNNNNNNNNNNNNNNNNNNNNNNNNNNNNNNNNNNNNNNNNNNNNNNNNNNNNNNNNNNNNNNNNNNNNNNNNNNNNNNNNNNNNNNNNNNNNNNNNNNNNNNNNNNNNNNNNNNNNNNNNNNNNNNNNNNNNNNNNNNNNNNNNNNNNNNNNNNNNNNNNNNNNNNNNNNNNNNNNNNNNNNNNNNNNNNNNNNNNNNNNNNNNNNNNNNNNNNNNNNNNNNNNNNNNNNNNNNNNNNNNNNNNNNNNNNNNNNNNNNNNNNNNNNNNCACGUUUUAAUGAUCCUAUUAUAAUCACAGUGUUUGAGAUUGUCCAUCGACCGAUUUUCAGGCAAACGAGAGAGCCGAUCAAAGGGAUCAGAUGUCGUGUUAUCCCGUAAUUUCGUUUGUUGUAUUACCACAUUGUUGUAUGAAUUUAUGGAUUGUGAAACCUUGAGUGCUGAAUUGUGUUUGUAACCAAAAUUGUUGUAAGUUGGAUUUGUGUGAAAACUGUUUAUGUGUAUAUUGCUUAAAAUUUCAAGAUUCUGGCAAUAUACUAAUUAAUUUAUGGCUUCAUAUUUAAAAUUCAUGAAAUCCCUGUUGAGUAUUUGGAUGACGCUCAACAUCGUCUGAAACGCCAUCACUAUUCCCACAUGCUUUGCAUCGAGAUCUGGCAUUGAGAGCUGUUGGCUUUUGAUCCCAUUUGCCCAUUCCAACAUUAGUUUUCUCAUAUCCCAUAAAUAAUGAUUUUGAAUUAAAUUUAAAUUCAAACUUUAAUUUAUUACUUACAUUUAGUUUUAAAAUUUUAUUUUCUAUUUUGUUUCAUAUUUUUUUUUACAUACCCACUAUUCAAAGGAAUGUUUUAUUUAAUAAUAAUAAUAAUAAUACUAAUACACAAUGCAAUAAACGUAGUAAAUAAAAAUUUAUAAUUUGUAUUUUAAAGAGUACAAUAAUAGUAUUAAAUAUAUAUGUAGGUAAGAAUCCUGAGAAUUAAAAAAAAAAUGCUUAAGAAAAGUUAAAAAUUAAAAAUCAUGAAAAAUUGCACUACUUUCCGAUAGUAGUAGGGGGGUCCAUCUUAUCUUAAUUACAUUAUACACAGCUUUUCAAAUCAUUUACUAAAGUUCUUGAAUGUGGUAUUGAAUGUUUCUGAAUUUGUAUCAAAACCAGCUGCCGCCACCGUUGACUUGCGCCAACUCCUCCAAGAGGUAAGCAGAGAGCUGAGAUCUAUCAUUUGUUUCAUCUCUAUUUGCUUAUUAUAAUUCCUUCUUCUUCUCCAAUUCUUUGUUAGGCGACUGAAUUGCAGUUGACUUUAAGCUUCAUUUUGGAGGAAAAUAGCUGAGCUAAAUCGAAUUCUGAGCUGAUAAUUUGGGUAUGGCGGCUUUUGGUGCGGCGGCUUCUCUCAAGAAUACGAUUCAGCGUAUUCUACAAUCGUCUCGCAUUUCUCUCGUUUCCCACUCUCCACAAAUCUUACAACCUGCCUACGACGAGAUGGAUCGCUUGCAGAAAGUUCUGCUAAAAUUGGACGAGACCAGCUGCAGCAAGAUCAGGACGGAGGUGAAUGCUUUGGAUGAACUCAUAAAAGAGGCAGUUUGGGAAUUCGAAGAUUUACUCGAAUCCCAUAUCUUACCUCAGAUUCUUCCACAACUCGAAAGCGAGAGACACAACUUGUCAUUCUCUGUAGAUCUGCAGAGUCUGCAACACCAUGUUGAUUGCUUCGUCGAGAUGGUGAAGAUGAUGGAGGAAGAGUACACUAAUGAAAUGGAGAAUAUGGCUGAAGAAGAAGGCGAGCCUAUUUCCUCAAGAAUUGAUUUUGGUGGAAUCAACUCAAAGAUGGUUGGAUUAUCUUAUGCAUUUCAAAAAGCCAGAGAUAAUCUUCUUGAAGGUAAAGAUUAUUCUAUUAUUGGGAUGGCGGGAGUUGGAAAGACAACUCUUGCUAAACGUAUAUUUGAAGAUCCAUCAAUUCGGAGCCAUUUUGAGUUUCGAGCAUGGGUCAAAGUGGGCAGAAAAUGCGAACCCAAUGAACUAUUACGCUGCGUUCUAGCUCAAGUGGAUCCCAACGCUUACCGAAUGCUUGCCCAAGGAGAUGAUGAUGAUGAGGAAUUAGUUGGACUAUUGAAAGAAAAAUUGCAGGAUAAGAAAUGCCUCAUCGUGUUGGAUGAUGUUUGGGAGGCACAAGCAAUAAAUCGCUUGAUAAAUUGCUUGCGAGAAAAGAAUACUCUUGGAGGGAUUCAGUUCUUACUUACAAGUAGACAACGUAUAACAUACAAGCAGCAUGGGGGCAUGAGAUUGAACUUGUUGAAUGAAGAAGAUAGUAAGAAACUACUUGGUGAGAAGGUGUUUGGUGUGAAGGUGUUUAGUGAAGACGGUUUCCCUCCUCAACUUGAGAAACUGGGAGAGAAGAUUGCUGAGAAAUGUGAAGGUCUUCCUCUUAUGAUAGUCACAGUUGCAGAGCUCCUAUCAAAAGCCGACAAGACCCCAGAAUACUGGACUGAGGUAGCCUACAAACAACACAACUCACUUUUCAAGGAUGCAUAUAAUCAAAUAUCAGAGGUACUUUUCCCAAGUUAUGACUACUUACCCCAACAUUUAAAAAUGUUCUUCCUCUAUAUGGGAGCUUUCCCUCCUUAUGCUGAUCAGAGUCCAUUCCAUAUUAAUAAUCUUUUGGGUGUUGAGGGAUUUCUUGAACUGAAUGAUGAAAAAAGUUUUGAAGGUUUCUGGGAAAAGCUUUCUCAGGGGUAUUAUCUUGUUCUCGACACAGAAAAUUCUUGGUAUUCGAGUAGACGGUAUCGCGUGCAUUCUUGUUGGCAGCACUUAUGUAAGGUAGAAGCUAGUAGGAUCAAGUUUCUACAUGUCUUACGAGGUUGUGAUGAUGUAAUAAAAGACCAACGUCGCUUGUGUGCCCAUUACAACAAUUUAUUUGGCUUCAAACAAGUGUAUGAUUCGAUAAAAAGUGAUUGUGCAUCCACUGCCCGUUCUCUCCUUUGUGUUGGUCCUUAUCACCCU